Molecule: ribosomal RNA, 238 nt
Filed under: uncultured Pseudomonas sp.
Lineage: Bacteria; Pseudomonadati; Pseudomonadota; Gammaproteobacteria; Pseudomonadales; Pseudomonadaceae
Description: partial 16S ribosomal RNA
Rfam family: Bacterial small subunit ribosomal RNA
Source: RNAcentral
UGCCGGUGGACAAACCGGAGGAAGGUGGGGAUGACGUCAAGUCCAUCAUGGCCCUUACGGCCUGGGCUACACACGUGCUACAAUGGUCGGUACAAAGGGUUGCCAAGCCGCGAGGUGGAGCUAAUCCCAUAAAACCGAUCGUAGUCCGGAUCGCAGUCUGCAACUCGACUGCGUGAAGUCGGAAUCGCUAGUAAUCGUGAAAUCAGAAUGUCACGGUGAAUACGUUCCCGGGUCCGUU